GUAGGGUGCGAGCGUUAAUCGGAAUUACUGGGCGUAAAGAGUGCGUAGGCGGUCCCGCAAGUCCGCUGUGAAAGCCCCGGGCUUAACCUGGGAAUGGCAGUGGAAACUAUGGGACUUGAAUCUGGCAGAGGGGGGUGGAAUGCCACGUGUAGCAGUGAAAUGCGUAGAGAUGUGGCGGAACACCGAUGGCGAAGGCAGCCCCCUGGGCUGAGAUUGACGCUCAGGCACGAAAGCGUGGGGAGCAAACAGGAUUAGAUACCCUGGUAGUCCACGCUGUAAACGAUGGGCACUAGGUGUCSGAGGUAUUGACCCCUUGGGUGCCGCAUCUAACGCAUUAAGUGCCCCGCCUGGGGAGUACGGUCGCAAGAUUA
RNAcentral lists this ribosomal RNA (371 nucleotides) under uncultured bacterium. RNAcentral's name for it is "bacterial SSU rRNA". It matches the Rfam family "Bacterial small subunit ribosomal RNA", at positions 527 to 896 of the family's 1533-position model. The record is from RNAcentral.